This 361-nucleotide ribosomal RNA is filed under the name uncultured fungus. Its description in RNAcentral is "eukaryotic LSU rRNA". It matches the Rfam family "Eukaryotic large subunit ribosomal RNA", at positions 40 to 398 of the family's 3401-position model. The record is from RNAcentral. Lineage: Eukaryota; Fungi.
AUAUCAAUAAGGGGAGGAAAAGAAACCAACAGGGAUUGCCUUAGUAACGGCGAGUGAAGCGGCAAAAGCUCAAAUUUGAAAUCUGGCGUCUUUGACGUCCGAGUUGUAAUUUGUAGAGGUAGCUUUGGGUGUACAGCCAGGUCUAUGUUCCUUGGAACAGGACGUCAUGGAGGGUGAGAAUCCCGUAAAUGGCUUGGCCAGUGCCUGUGUAUAGCGCCUUCGACGAGUCGAGUUGUUUGGGAAUGCAGCUCUAAGCGGGUGGUAAAUUCCAUCUAAAGCUAAAUACUGGCGAGAGACCGAUAGCGCACAAGUAGAGUGAUCGAAAGGUGAAAAGCACUCCGGAAGGAGAGUUAAACAGCAC